GAUGAACGCUGGCGGCGUGCCUAACACAUGCAAGUCGAGCGAACAGACGAGGAGCUUGCUCCUCUGACGUUAGCGGCGGACGGGUGAGUAACACGUGGAUAACCUACCUAUAAGACUGGGAUAACUUCGGGAAACCGGAGCUAAUACCGGAUAAUAUAUUUAACCGCAUGGUUCAAUAGUGAAAGACGGUUUUGCUGUCACUUAUAGAUGGAUCCGCGCCGCAUUAGCUAGUUGGUAAGGUAACGGCUUACCAAGGCAACGAUGCGUAGCCGACCUGAGAGGGUGAUCGGCCACACUGGAACUGAGACACGGUCCAGACUCCUACGGGAGGCAGCAGUAGGGAAUCUUCCGCAAUGGGCGAAAGCCUGACGGAGCAACGCCGCGUGAGUGAUGAAGGUCUUCGGAUCGUAAAACUCUGUUAUUAGGGAAGAACAAAUGUGUAAGUAACUAUGCACGUCUUGACGGUACCUAAUCAGAAAGCCACGGCUAACUACGUG
This 497-nucleotide ribosomal RNA is filed under the name uncultured bacterium. RNAcentral describes it as "partial 16S ribosomal RNA". It matches the Rfam family "Bacterial small subunit ribosomal RNA", at positions 28 to 507 of the family's 1533-position model. The record is from RNAcentral.